Molecule: ribosomal RNA, 403 nt
Filed under: uncultured bacterium
Lineage: Bacteria
Description: partial 16S ribosomal RNA
Rfam family: Bacterial small subunit ribosomal RNA
Source: RNAcentral
AUUGAACGCUGGCGGCAGGCCUAACACAUGCAAGUCGAGCGAGCGGCGGACGGGUGAGUAAUGGAGGGGGACUGCCCGAUAGAGGGGGAUAACUACUGGAAACGGUGGCUAAUACCGCAUACUAUCGGAUAACCCAUAUGGGAUUAGCUAGUAGGUAUGUAAAUGGCUUACCUAGGCGAUGAUCCCUAGCUGGUCUGAGAGGAGGAUCAGCCAAACUGGGACUGAGACAGGGCCCAGACUCCUACGGAGGAGGCGGUGGGGAAUAUUGCACAAUGGGCGCAAGCCGGAUGCAGCCAUGCCGCUUGUAUGAAGAAGGCCCUAGGGUUGUAAAGUACUUUCAGUAGGGAGGCGUUACCGACAGAAGAAGCACCGGCUAACUCCGUGCCAGCAGCCGCGGUAAUUC